Equus caballus (horse) is the source of this 545-nucleotide non-coding RNA. NCBI's taxonomy places the organism in Eukaryota, Metazoa, Chordata, Mammalia, Perissodactyla, Equidae. The record is from the annotation of a RefSeq genome assembly.
GUGAAGUCUUUUUUUUAAUUGGUAGAAUUGGUUCUUUUUUUGAUUCCUAAAGCAGAAGAAUUAGAAAUGUCUGAGCUAGACUCACUUUUUUAGGGUUUGAAAUUUGAAUUCUCAGUGAACCACGGGAGGAAAGAAUGAUGAAAUGCUCUAGAGUUUUAAUAGUGACUCUGUGGCUUCAGUUAACCUGUGUGAGGAGCCAACAGAAGGGAGUGGAGCAGAGUCCUGGAUCUCUGAGUGUUCCAGGGGGAGACGUUGCCUCUCUCAACUGCACUUACAGUGACAGCGCUUCCCAGACCUUCAUGUGGUACAGACAGUAUUCUGGGAAAGGCCCUGAGUUGCUGAUGUACACAUACUCCAGUGGUGACAAGGAUAAAGGAAGAUUUACAGCGCAUCUGAAUAAAGCCGGCCAAUAUGUCUCUCUGCUCAUCAGAGAUUCCCAGCCCAGUGACUCAGCCACCUACCUCUGUGCAGUGAGCACACAGUGCUCCUGCAGCACCUGCAGUCUGUACCCAAACCUCCUGGGGCCCCAGAAAUGCCUGAUAUAG